UACGAAGGGGACUAGCGUUGUUCGGAAUCACUGGGCGUAAAGCGCACGUAGGCGGAUGUGUCAGUCAGGGGUGAAAUCCUGGGGCUCAACCCCAGAACUGCCUUUGAUACUGGCGAUCUCGAGUCCGGAAGAGGUGAGUGGAACUCCUAGUGUAGAGGUGGAAUUCGUAGAUAUUAGGAAGAACACCAGUGGCGAAGGCGGCUCACUGGUCCGGUACUGACGCUGAGGUGCGAAAGCGUGGGGAGCAAACAGG
This 253-nucleotide ribosomal RNA is filed under the name uncultured bacterium. RNAcentral's name for it is "partial 16S ribosomal RNA". It matches the Rfam family "Bacterial small subunit ribosomal RNA", at positions 524 to 776 of the family's 1533-position model. The record is from RNAcentral.